RNAcentral lists this ribosomal RNA (245 nucleotides) under uncultured archaeon. RNAcentral describes it as "partial 16S ribosomal RNA". It matches the Rfam family "Archaeal small subunit ribosomal RNA", at positions 474 to 718 of the family's 1478-position model. The record is from RNAcentral.
UCCCAGCGGUCCAAGUCGCAGCCACAUUUGUUGGGUCUAAAACAUUCGUAGCUUGCCUUACAAGUCUUUUGUGAAAUCGGGACUCUUAAGGUUCCGUCGGGCAAAAGAUACUGUUUGGCUAGAGACCGGGAGAUGUAAAGAGUACGGAUAGGGUAGUGGUUAAAUACGUUGAUCCUUUCCGGACUAACGACAGCGAAGGCACUUUACAAGCACGGAUCUGACAGUGAGGAAUGAAGGCUAGGGGC